Molecule: long non-coding RNA, 1393 nt
Filed under: Salvator merianae (Argentine black and white tegu)
Lineage: Eukaryota; Metazoa; Chordata; Lepidosauria; Squamata; Teiidae
Description: lncRNA (ENSSMRG00000007071.1)
Source: RNAcentral
GAAGGGCAGAUCGAAUGUGGAUUAAAACUUAGGUGUAGCCAGGCACUGAAAGACGAGAUCGAAGUGGAAGCGGAAGAAAUCGCGACGAGAGGAAGGCGCGCCUAGCGAGAACUGGAGAAGGUACAGAAACAGCAGGGGCCGGACGGGCUGGCCGCAUCUUCCUCGUUCGCUAGACCAAUCGGAGGCGCCACGACCAAAAGGCUCUUCCCAAGCUGGGCUGCGGGCUGGAGGAGGAAGCGCCAGUAUGAUGGCGAAGAAAUCUCCGGCGCUGCUGAUANAAAUAAAGCAUGAGGUGAAAGGCAAGGACAAGAAACCCCGAGGGGAGCUGGAGGAGAACGACCCUUCGCGCUUCUCCACUCCUUCCUCGUUCGUCGGGCCUCUUAUGUACCACGGAGGGAACCUCUUCCUGCGCGCCCUGCGGGGCAUGGAGAGCGAAGACCUGGAAAAAUUCGCGCGCUACCUCCGCGCCUUGCCGUCCUUCCCUCCCUCCGAGGCGUCGCUGGAGGCAGCAAAUGUUAAGCAGCUGCAAGAGUUGCUGCUCGGCCGCUUCGACGUGGUCGAGGCCUUGGAUGUGACCGAGCAAGGGCUCAGGGCGAUCGGCCUGCCCCGCCGGGCGGACUGGCUCCGCUUAGCCGUCCUGGGGUUCAGCCCCGUGGAAUGCCUGAGAGGGACGCUGCGGAGUCUGGAGACCGAGCAGGCCGAGCGGUUGCAGCGCAAACUGCGCUCCUUCUCCAGCCACCGAAAUGACUCGGGUUCGAUCCCCGAGGGCAAUCGCAGGUCGCUGGCGGCAGAACUUGCGAGGCUUCUCGACUUGCAGGAGGAGGAAGAUUUUAUAGCGCUGGCCGAGUGGCUCAUCCGUGUCUACGGCGGGGUCAGUGCCCUGGAGGUAGCGGCCGAGGGGCUGGAGGGGAUCGGCCAGGCUGUGUGUGGAGGAGCUCUCCUCGGUGAAACGCCUGGAGGACGCGCUGGCUCGCUUGGGGAAAAGGAAGCUGAAGCGGUUCAAGCGCAAACUCUGCGACCUUCCCGUCCAGGAAGGCAUGGAGCGGAUCUCCGAGGCGCUGCAGGGAAACGUCUGAGAAAUCAGUGCGAUAAUAAUCAGAUUCUACGGCGGGCGCGCCGCACUAGAAAUGGGGGCCGAAGCGCUGAAGGCCCUGGGCCGCGAGUCCCUGGCGGACAGUCUCUCAUCCCCCACUGGGAAGGGCAAGGAUCAAGAUCUUGCUGACAUUUUUAACACUGAUGUAUUGGAGUCAAAGUCUUCUUUUCUUGGGAAGAAAGAAAGGAGUGAGGAGAUGGAGAAUCCAAUAGAUANAGAGGAACAUUUUCUGUGUAGUAGGUGUUCCAGUGAGGUGAGGUGCUGAACAUUUUGCUUUGUAUUGCUUACUCUCAGGAAAGA